CUCUUUGAGAACAGGAUAUCCUAGAACACUUUAGUCCAGCAUGGCAUGUAGCCCCUGGUUAUAAAACCCAGAGUGGACUGCUUUCUGAGACCCCCUCAGCUACAGAACAAGUUGAGCAUGCUCAGCUCCGUCCUCCAUGUGCGUGCGGCUUUCCUAAGCCGGAGUUCCAGCUUGCCAUGAAUCCUAGGCUUCUCAAGUCCCUUGCUGCCUGUCUGGGAGUAACACAUCUGCUUCAUGGAACUUGCCAGGUGCUAGUGCUCUGUCUCACUGGACUUAGGCUUAUUGGUGAAGCCUCCUUGGACAAUCAAGAAGGCAUUUGCAUGCCCAGACCUCAUUUACCACCAUCAUUCACGUUUAUCUGAGCAGCAUCCAGCCUAUGUAAGGGGGAAGUGAGAAACAGAAGAAAAGAGAACACAUUUAAGAAGAUUGCAAAGGACUUCAAUUUAAAGGAUAGACACCGUAUGCUAUGGAUCGUAUUGUGGCAUCCCACCCAAAAUGGGCUGGUUUCUUCUUUAUCUACCUGGCACGUAUCAUGAAAGUAAAUAAUAGUUAUAGAAGGGACUCGUUCAUCACACAGUCAUCACUGUCACUACUCAACUGCUACGACAGUGGUACCACUUCUACGCAUGCUAUGGAGGAACCAGCAAAACAGCUCUUUAAAGACAUUAGGGAUUAAACAAAUAACGGUGAAGCACAUUUGGUAAACAUUUGUUUUUCUUGCUGUAAACAUAGUAUGUCCUCUCGUUGACUUCAAGUUCUGCCCUGAAAUUAAUUUCAUUUAUAACAUAUUUUAAAAAUAAUAAAAACCUUG
This 811-nucleotide long non-coding RNA is filed under the name Callithrix jacchus (white-tufted-ear marmoset). RNAcentral describes it as "lncRNA (ENSCJAG00000051439.2)". Lineage: Eukaryota; Metazoa; Chordata; Mammalia; Primates; Cebidae. The record is from RNAcentral.